This 24-nucleotide non-coding RNA is filed under the name Mus musculus (house mouse). The record is from RNAcentral. Lineage: Eukaryota; Metazoa; Chordata; Mammalia; Rodentia; Muridae.
UGCUUUGGUGCCGGGUUUCCCCCA